GGGCUCCUACGGGACGCAGCAGUGAGGAAUAUUGGUCAAUGGUCGGGAGACUGAACCAGCCAAGCCGCGUGAGGGAGGAAGGUACAGAGUAUCGUAAACCUCUUUUGUCAGGGAACAAAGGCGGGGACGUGUUCCCGGAUGAGUGUACCUGAAGAAAAAGCAUCGGCUAACUCCGUGCCAGCAGCCGCGGUAAUACGGAGGAUGCGAGCGUUAUCCGGAUUUAUUGGGUUUAAAGGGUGCG
Molecule: ribosomal RNA, 241 nt
Filed under: uncultured bacterium
Lineage: Bacteria
Description: partial 16S ribosomal RNA
Rfam family: Bacterial small subunit ribosomal RNA
Source: RNAcentral